This 505-nucleotide ribosomal RNA is filed under the name uncultured bacterium. RNAcentral's name for it is "partial 16S ribosomal RNA". It matches the Rfam family "Bacterial small subunit ribosomal RNA", at positions 28 to 507 of the family's 1533-position model. The record is from RNAcentral.
GACGAACGCUGGCGGCGUGCCUAAUACAUGCAAGUAGAACGCACAGUUUAUACCGUAGCUUGCUACACCAUAGACUGUGAGUUGCGAACGGGUGAGUAACGCGUAGGUAACCUGCCUGGUAGCGGGGGAUAACUAUUGGAAACGAUAGCUAAUACCGCAUAAUAUUGAUUAUUGCAUGAUAAUUAAUUGAAAGGUGCAAUUGCACCACUACCAGAUGGACCUGCGUUGUAUUAGCUAGUAGGUGAGGUAACGGCUCACCUAGGCGACGAUACAUAGCCGACCUGAGAGGGUGAGCGGCCACACUGGGACUGAGACACGGCCCAGACUCCUACGGGAGGCAGCAGUAGGGAAUCUUCGGCAAUGGACGAAAGUCUGACCGAGCAACGCCGCGUGAGUGAAGAAGGUUUUCGGAUCGUAAAGCUCUGUUGUAAGAGAAGAACGGGUGUGAGAGUGGAAAGUUCACACUGUGACGGUAUCUUACCAGAAAGGGACGGCUAACUACGUG